UACUCCGUUGCGCAAUGGUAGCGCGUUGACUCCAGAUCAGAAGGUUGCGUGUUCAAAUCACGUCAGGGUCA
RNAcentral lists this transfer RNA (71 nucleotides) under Nematostella vectensis (starlet sea anemone). It matches the Rfam family "tRNA". Rfam says of the family: Transfer RNA (tRNA) molecules are approximately 80 nucleotides in length. The record is from Rfam by way of RNAcentral. Lineage: Eukaryota; Metazoa; Cnidaria; Anthozoa; Actiniaria; Edwardsiidae.